AGUGAACGCUGGCGGUAGGCCUAACACAUGCAAGUCGAACGGCAGCACAGUAAGAGCUUGCUCUUACGGGUGGCGAGUGGCGGACGGGUGAGGAAUACAUCGGAAUCUACUUUUUCGUGGGGGAUAACGUAGGGAAACUUACGCUAAUACCGCAUACGACCUACUGGUGAAAGCAGGGGAUCUUCUGACCUUGCGCGAUUGAAUGAGCCGAUGUCGGAUUAGCUAGUUGGCUGGGUAAAGGCCCACCAAGGCGACGAUCCGUAGCUGGUCUGAGAGGAUGAUCCGCCAGACUGGAACUGAGACACGGUCCAGACUCCUACGGGAGGCCGCAGUGGGGAAUAUUGGACAAUGCGCGCAAGCCUGAUCCAGCCAUACCGGCUAGGUGAAGACGGACUUCGGGUUGUAAAGCCCUUUUGUUGGGAAAGAAAAGCAGCAGGUUAAUACCCCGCUGUUCUGACGGUACCCAAAGAAUAAGCACCGGCUAACUUCGUG
RNAcentral lists this ribosomal RNA (492 nucleotides) under uncultured bacterium. RNAcentral's name for it is "partial 16S ribosomal RNA". It matches the Rfam family "Bacterial small subunit ribosomal RNA", at positions 29 to 507 of the family's 1533-position model. The record is from RNAcentral.